Molecule: ribosomal RNA, 358 nt
Filed under: uncultured crenarchaeote
Lineage: Archaea; Thermoproteati; Thermoproteota
Description: bacterial SSU rRNA
Rfam family: Archaeal small subunit ribosomal RNA
Source: RNAcentral
CCGCGAGUGGUCGGGACGAUUAUUGGGCCUAAAGCGUUCGUAGCCGGCCUAUCAAGUCUCUGGUUAAAUCUCAAGGCUUAACCUUGAGCGUGCUGGGGAUACUGUUAGGCUAGGGGGCGGGAGAGGUUGAGGGUACUUCGCGGGUAGGGGCGAAAUCCUAUAAUCCGCGAAGGACCACCAGUGGCGAAGGCGCUCGACUGGAACGCGCCCGACGGUGAGGGACGAAAGCCAGGGGAGCAAAGGGGAUUAGAUACCCCCGUAGUCCUGGCUGUAAACGAUGCGGGCUAGGUGUUGGGUUGGCUUCGUGCCAACCCGGUGCCGCAGCGAAGGCGAUAAGCCCGCCGCCUGGGAAGUACGG